Molecule: ribosomal RNA, 484 nt
Filed under: uncultured bacterium
Lineage: Bacteria
Description: partial 16S ribosomal RNA
Rfam family: Bacterial small subunit ribosomal RNA
Source: RNAcentral
AGUGAACGCUGGCGGCGUGCUGAACACAUGCAAGUCGAACGAGAACGGGUUAUAGCUUGCUAUAAUUGUCAGCUAAGUGGCGCACGGGUGAGUAAUGUAUAGGUAAUAUGCCUCUUACUAAGGGAUAACAAAUGGAAACGUUUGCUAAUACCUUAUACUCCUUAUUAACAUAAGUUAAUAAGGGAAAGAUUUAUUGGUAAGAGAUUAGCCUGUAUUGUAUCCGUUAGUUGGUGGGGUAAUGGCUUACCAAGACUAUGACACAUAACUGGUUUGAGAGGAUGAUCAGUCACACUGGAACUGGGACACGGUCCAGACUCCUACGGGAGGCAGCAGUGGGGAAUAUUGCACAAUGGACGAAAGUCGGAUGCAGCAACGCCGCGUGAAGGAUGACACAUUUCGGUGCGUAAACUCCUUUUAUAUGAGAAGAUAAUGACGGUAUUAUAUGAAUAAGCACCAGCUAACUCCGUGCCAGCCGCCGCGGUAA